GGAACAAUGAAGUGAACUAUUCUGAAGUUCUUGCACUGAAUUACUAAGGGGCAGCCAGAAGUAGUCAAAGCAAGUUUCUCCACUGCAGCAAUAUGAUGGUGUAAUAUCUACAGCAUACAGGAAACCAUAAAAACUAUGAUGGGAAAGAUUCAAGUUAACAACAGUAAUGUCAAGGAAGAAAGACUUUUCAAACCUGGGCCUUCUCUGGCGAGGGGGUCCCAAGGCCAAUAAUGAAGUCAGGAGUGGACCAUCUAUGGCCCUGGAUCAGAUUCAAACCUCCCUGCAAGAGACAAGUUCAGACAUUUG
Crotalus tigris (Tiger rattlesnake) is the source of this 306-nucleotide long non-coding RNA. RefSeq lists it as uncharacterized. The transcript has 3 exons. NCBI's taxonomy places the organism in Eukaryota, Metazoa, Chordata, Lepidosauria, Squamata, Viperidae. The record is from RefSeq and is a predicted model, not a curated record.